This 907-nucleotide long non-coding RNA is filed under the name Manacus vitellinus (golden-collared manakin). Its description in RNAcentral is "lncRNA (ENSMVIG00005001688.1)". Lineage: Eukaryota; Metazoa; Chordata; Aves; Passeriformes; Pipridae. The record is from RNAcentral.
GGUGGGAAUGCACGGGGCUGAUGGACAUGAACCAGCGAGCUCUGAACGCUGCUGUCUCCCGGGAACAGAGCCCAGGGGGUCUAUGGCAUAAGGGCUCUCAAGCUCCCGUGCCCCCAAUACCAGUGGAGUAAAUCGAGCCUGAGACAGAGUUCCGAAAUCAGAGCAGUCGCUCCUGCCCUGCUCGAGCACACACCGUGACACUCCUCCCGCCCAGCACGGGCAUCAGGCCAAACCCCCCUGGGUGCUGGGGGAGCGGUGGAUCUCUGCCGGGGUUUCUGUCUCAAUCCGUGCAAUAAUCCAGGCCAGUGAGUAGAAACAACAGUGAGUUGUACUAAUAGUUCUGACUCUGCUCAUGUCUUUCCCUCCAAAGUAAAAGACAACCUCGCCCCGUUCCACCCCUUGACCCGCAGGGGAGUAGCUGAUGGCAGGAGCAGAGCUCAGAGAGGAGGAACCGGGAUCGGACUCUGUUCCCGAGGGCAGGUUGGAUUUGUUCCGGUGCAGAGAUUGUGCUUCCUUAUUCACAGGAAAAAGGCAACGAUUUAUAAAAAUGCAAGUUAGUGAACUCCGACGGAAGAAGGAAAAAAGCUUCUUUCACAUCUUAUUUUUAAUUGACUAAAAUUUGGACACAAUUAAAAGAGCAGAGGCAUCUCUUACAGGGUGGUAUCAGAGAAAAUGUUUGCAGCUUAUUUUGAUUGCCCAGGAGGCCCAGAAAAUCUCUAUAUGAAAGAAGUGAUGCAACCAAGUCCAGGACAAGGAGAAGUUCUUGUGAAGGUCUCUGCCAGUGCUCUGAAUAGGGCAGAUUUACUCCAGGUAUGUAUACAUUAAGCAGAUUUAUGCAGCUGAAAAUAGCACUGAUUUUUCAAGCCCCUAUCUGAGGUCUUGACAGAUCAGAAGAGUUAAAAGAGGU